Molecule: ribosomal RNA, 465 nt
Filed under: Vreelandella stevensii
Lineage: Bacteria; Pseudomonadati; Pseudomonadota; Gammaproteobacteria; Oceanospirillales; Halomonadaceae
Description: partial 16S ribosomal RNA
Rfam family: Bacterial small subunit ribosomal RNA
Source: RNAcentral
CCUACGGGAGGCAGCAGUGGGGAAUAUUGGACAAUGGGGGGAACCCUGAUCCAGCCAUGCCGCGUGUGUGAAGAAGGCCCUCGGGUUGUAAAGCACUUUCAGUGAGGAAGAACGCCUGGUGGUUAAUACCCAUCAGGAAAGACAUCACUCACAGAGGAAGCACCGGCUAACUCCGUGCCAGCAGCCGCGGUAAUACGGAGGGUGCGAGCGUUAAUCGGAAUUACUGGGCGUAAAGCGCGCGUAGGUGGCUUGAUAAGCCGGUUGUGAAAGCCCCGGGCUCAACCUGGGAACGGCAUCCGGAACUGUCAAGCUAGAGUGCAGGAGAGGAAGGUAGAAUUCCCGGUGUAGCGGUGAAAUGCGUAGAGAUCGGGAGGAAUACCAGUGGCGAAGGCGGCCUUCUGGACUGACACUGACACUGAGGUGCGAAAGCGUGGGUAGCAAACAGGAUUAGAUACCCGGGUAGUC